RNAcentral lists this ribosomal RNA (498 nucleotides) under uncultured bacterium. RNAcentral's name for it is "bacterial SSU rRNA". It matches the Rfam family "Bacterial small subunit ribosomal RNA", at positions 35 to 507 of the family's 1533-position model. The record is from RNAcentral.
GCUGGCGGCGUGCCUAACACAUGCAAGUCGUACGAGAAAUCCCGAGCUUGCUUGGGAGAGUAAAGUGGCGUACGGGUGAGUAUCGCGUGGGUAACCUACCCCUGAAUCUGGGAUAACUUCACGAAAGCGAAGCUAAUACCGGAUAAGACCACAGCCGCUCCGGCGGCAGAGGUAAAAGCUGACCUCUCCAUGGAAGUUAGCGUUUGGGCGGGCCCGCGUCCUAUCAGCUUGUUGGUGGGGUAACGGCCUACCAAGGCUGCGACGGGUAGCUGGUCUGAGAGGAUGAUCAGCCACACUGGAACUGGAACACGGUCCAGACUCCUACGGGAGGCAGCAGUGAGGAAUUUUGCGCAAUGGGCGCAAGCCUGACGCAGCAACGCCGCGUGGGUGAAGAAGGCCUUCGGGUCGUAAAGCCCUGUCAGGUGGGAAGAACCACUUCAGCACCAAUAAUGCUGAAGUCUGACGGUACCACCAGAGGAAGCACCGGCCAACUCCGUG